This 450-nucleotide ribosomal RNA is filed under the name uncultured Glomeromycotina. Its description in RNAcentral is "SSU rRNA". It matches the Rfam family "Eukaryotic small subunit ribosomal RNA", at positions 569 to 1024 of the family's 1831-position model. The record is from RNAcentral. Lineage: Eukaryota; Fungi; Glomeromycota.
AGCAGCCGCGGUAAUUCCAGCUCCAAUAGCGUAUAUUAAAGUUGUUGCAGUUAAAAAGCUCGUAGUUGAAUUUCGGGACCAAUAUGUCGGUCGUGCCUCGGUACGUACUGGUGUCAUUGGUUUCUCCCUUCUGAGGAUCCUUGAUGUCAUUAAUUUGGUGUCUUGGGGAAUCAGGACUGUUACCUUGAAAAAAUUAGAGUGUUUAAAGCAGGCAUACGCUUGAAUACAUUAGCAUGGAAUAAUGAAAUAGGACGUUCGAUUCUAUUUUGUUGGUUUCUAGGAUCGACGUAAUGAUUAAUAGGGAUAGUUGGGGGCAUUAGUAUUCAAUUGUCAGAGGUGAAAUUCUUGGAUUUAUUGAAGACUAACUACUGCGAAAGCAUUUGCCGAGGAUGUUUUCAUUAAUCAAGAACGAAAGUUAGGGGAUCGAAGACGAUCAGAUACCGUCGUAGU